This 375-nucleotide ribosomal RNA is filed under the name uncultured bacterium. Its description in RNAcentral is "bacterial SSU rRNA". It matches the Rfam family "Bacterial small subunit ribosomal RNA", at positions 975 to 1350 of the family's 1533-position model. The record is from RNAcentral.
CUGCUCUUGACAUCUCCCUGACCGGCAAGUAAUGUUGCCUUUCCUUCGGGACAGGGAUGACAGGUGGUGCAUGGUUGUCGUCAGCUCGUGUCGUGAGAUGUUGGGUUAAGUCCCGCAACGAGCGCAACCCCUAUCUUUAGUAGCCAGCGGUUUGGCCGGGCACUCUAGAGAGACUGCCAGGGAUAACCUGGAGGAAGGUGGGGAUGACGUCAAAUCAUCAUGCCCCUUAUGAGCAGGGCUACACACGUGCUACAAUGGCGUAAACAAAGGGAGGCAGAACCGCGAGGUCGAGCAAAUCCCAAAAAUAACGUCUCAGUUCGGAUUGUAGUCUGCAACUCGACUACAUGAAGCUGGAAUCGCUAGUAAUCGCGAAUC